RNAcentral lists this ribosomal RNA (254 nucleotides) under uncultured bacterium. Its description in RNAcentral is "partial 16S ribosomal RNA". It matches the Rfam family "Bacterial small subunit ribosomal RNA", at positions 524 to 776 of the family's 1533-position model. The record is from RNAcentral.
UACGUAGGGCGCAAGCGUUGUCCGGAAUUAUUGGGCGUAAAGGGCGCGUAGGCGGUGCGGUAAGUCUUUUGUGAAAUCUCCGGGCUCAACUCGGAGUCUGCAGGAGAAACUGCCGUGCUUGAGUGUGGGAGAGGUGAGUGGAAUUCCCGGUGUAGCGGUGAAAUGCGUAGAUAUGCGGAGGAACACCGAUGGCGAAGGCAAUCCCCCUGGGCCUGCACUGACGCUCAUGCACGAAAGCGUGGGGAGCAAACAGG